GAAGCCUUCUUGCUGUCGAUGAACUGUCCCUCUGGGAUGGCACUGGCAUUAAGCACCUUGUAUCUGUGGAAAAAGGAAGAGAAGAAGUGCACAUGUCUGAAA
This is a long non-coding RNA of Corapipo altera (White-ruffed manakin), 102 nucleotides long. RefSeq lists it as uncharacterized. The record is from RefSeq and is a predicted model, not a curated record. Lineage: Eukaryota; Metazoa; Chordata; Aves; Passeriformes; Pipridae. The transcript is spliced from 3 exons.